RNAcentral lists this unclassified non-coding RNA (251 nucleotides) under uncultured fungus. Its description in RNAcentral is "sequence contains ITS1, 5.8S rRNA gene". The stretch from base 203 to 251 matches the Rfam family "5.8S ribosomal RNA", at positions 1 to 49 of the family's 154-position model. The record is from RNAcentral. Lineage: Eukaryota; Fungi.
UUUCCGUAGGUGAACCUGCGGAAGGAUCAAUCCAAAUAUUAUAACUAAUAUACAUUUGGUGUAUUACUAUGAUAUUACCAAUCCGAAUGGUCUUGAUGUUUCUCUUUCGAGAGAGAUGGAUAGAUCGUGGUUACUGUCUAAACUGUGCGUUUUAGUAACCAAAUUCUUUUUAGCCUUUUGAAAUAAAUAAAAAUCUAUACACAACUAUUAGUGGUGGAUCACUUGGCUCGCAGGUCGAUGAAGAACGCAGC